AACGAACGCUGGCGGCAGGCUUAACACAUGCAAGUCGAACGCCCCGCAAGGGGAGUGGCAGACGGGUGAGUAACGCGUGGGAAUCUACCCAUCCCUACGGAAUAACGCAUGGAAACGUGUGCUAAUACCGUAUACGCCCUACGGGGGAAAGAUUUAUCGGGGAUGGAUGAGCCCGCGUUGGAUUAGCUAGUUGGUGGAGUAAAGGCCUACCAAGGCGACGAUCCAUAGCUGGUCUGAGAGGAUGAUCAGCCACAUUGGGACUGAGACACGGCCCAAACUCCUACGGGAGGCAGCAGUGGGGAAUAUUGGACAAUGGGCGCAAGCCUGAUCCAGCCAUGCCGCGUGAGUGAUGAAGGCCUUAGGGUUGUAAAGCUCUUUCACCGGAGAAGAUAAUGACGGUAUCCGGAGAAGAAGCCCCGGCUAACUUCGUG
Molecule: ribosomal RNA, 431 nt
Filed under: uncultured bacterium
Lineage: Bacteria
Description: partial 16S ribosomal RNA
Rfam family: Bacterial small subunit ribosomal RNA
Source: RNAcentral